AUUGAACGCUGGCGGCGUGCCUAGUACAUGCAAGUCGAGCGGGGAUUAUGCUUGAUCGCUUCGGUGAGACGGCAGAUAUCCUAGCGGCGGACGGGUGAGUAACGCGUGGGUAAUCUACCUCGUAGUUCGGGAUAACAGGCCGAAAGGCUUGCUAAUACCGGAUGAGUUCAUGCUUAUGCAUAUAGGCAUGAAGAAAGGGCUAGCCCGCUAUGAGAUGAGCCCGCGUCCCAUUAGCUUGUUGGUGGGGUAAUGGCCUACCAAGGCAACGAUGGGUAGCCGGCCUGAGAGGGUGUACGGCCACACUGGGACUGAGACACGGCCCAGACUCCUACGGGGGGCAGCAGUAGGGAAUUUUCGGCAAUGGGCGAAAGCCUGACCGAGCGACGCCGCGUGAGGGACGAAGGCCUUCGGGUUGUAAACCUCUGUCUGGGGGAUGAGAACGGACGGUACCCCCGGAGGAAGCCCGGCUAACUACGUGCCAGCAGCCGCGGUAAUCUCGUCUCU
This 504-nucleotide ribosomal RNA is filed under the name uncultured bacterium. RNAcentral describes it as "bacterial SSU rRNA". It matches the Rfam family "Bacterial small subunit ribosomal RNA", at positions 30 to 532 of the family's 1533-position model. The record is from RNAcentral.